This 434-nucleotide ribosomal RNA is filed under the name uncultured bacterium. RNAcentral describes it as "partial 16S ribosomal RNA". It matches the Rfam family "Bacterial small subunit ribosomal RNA", at positions 29 to 507 of the family's 1533-position model. The record is from RNAcentral.
AACGAACGCUGGCGGCAGGCCUAACACAUGCGAGUCGAACGAACCUUUCGGGGUUAGUGGCGGACGGGUGAGUAACACGUGGGAACGUGCCUUUAGGUUCGGAAUAACUCAGGGAAACUUGUGCUAAUACCGAAUGUGCCCUUCGGGGGAAAGAUUUAUCGCCUUUAGAGCGGCCCGCGUCUGAUUAGCUAGUUGGUUGAGGUAAUGGCUCACCAAGGCGACGAUCAGUAGCUGGUCUGAGAGGAUGAUCAGCCACAUUGGGACUGAGACACGGCCCAAACUCCUACGGGAGGCAGCAGUGGGGAAUCUUGCGCAAUGGGCGAAAGCCUGACGCAGCCAUGCCGCGUGAAUGAUGAAGGUCUUAGGAUUGUAAAAUUCUUUCACCGGGGACGAUAAUGACGGUACCCGGAGAAGAAGCCCCGGCUAACUUCGUG